Long non-coding RNA from Manis javanica (Malayan pangolin), 2405 nucleotides. RefSeq lists it as uncharacterized. The record is from RefSeq and is a predicted model, not a curated record. Lineage: Eukaryota; Metazoa; Chordata; Mammalia; Pholidota; Manidae.
UCCCGGUUAUCAUGGAGGGCGUCGUUGGGCGCUGGGCGUGGCCCCUGGGCUAUGGCUGCCGAGGCGCUGGAGGGGCCUCUUGUGCGAAGUAGUGUGCACGCGGGUUCCCCUCUCCGGGGCGGUGGCCUGUUCCUUCCUCUUUCCGGUGGGCACGAGGUUUCUGCAGCACCACCACCGUAUUCGCGCACCCUCGCCCCGGGGGCGGCGGACGGGCUGACUCAGCACCCAACGCUCCGGGGCCGUGUGUCACCCCAGCCUGGCUGGACCUGGCGCCUCCCCAGACUGCGAGCUCCUGGAGAUAAAGGACCGCGUUUCAUUAUUGCAAUGAAUGAUACAUAUGAAUGGAACCUAUUAUUUCAGUUAACAUUUACGUGUUUCAAAAGACAACGUAUCUUUUUAUUGAACGCCGAUUGUGUCCUAAGUACUCAAUAAAUCCUUUAUAGGAGAUUCUAGGGAAGUAAGAUUAUUCCUCUCAAGCCUGAAAUUUUCUGAUACUGCCACGUAUAUUGUCUGUAUAUGAAGUAUCGCAUACAGUUUGUACAUGUAUGUAUGUCAUUCACAGCCUUCUAAAACCCAGGAUAAAAAAUUUUUUUAAGUAGGUAUAAUUAACAGAUGCAGAUAUAAUUAGAAAAGGUACUCUGAUAUUUCCAUGCCUUGUCCAAGAAACAGGAUGUAUUAUAUAAUGAGAACAAAUCGUUUACAAAACCCCUGCUGGAAUCCGUGAUUGCCUGCUUUCAUUCUCUUGGUUCUCUAUUCGUUCCUUUAAUUAUUAAAAUAUUAGAGGAAAGCCUAUCCACAGCAAGUAGGGUGGACUUUUGUAAUUGGAUGUUAUAAUGCUGACCAAAGUGGACAUAAAGAAGUGAAAAUAUUCCCCACUUGGGAACAGAAAAUAACGUGGAUAUGAAAACUUCAAGAAAACUGGGUUAUAAGUGAGAGCUGGAAAUGGGUUCGAAGGUUACUUUUCUCCCUCAAAGAACAGAAAAUCAGACAUGGAAUAGCAUAACCCCAAAGAUCUUCAGACAAGACCGUCAUACCAGUGCUCCUGACAAGCAAAUCCGCCCCUCACCAAGUUCAUUUGGAGAAAAAAAAAACAAAAAUAGAAGCUCUUCAUUGAACCAUGACUAUGUGCUGGGAGACGUGGAGGCUUUCUUUCCUUUUGUCCUCAUUACAACAAAGCAGAGACUUUCCUGUGCUUAUAACUCCUGCAUUCAUUCUGCAACUAUUUCCGGAAUGCCUAUGAACUACCAGACAGUAAGCCAAGCGACAUACACGCACCCAGCGACGGGCGAAAGACAUGGCACCUAUAGAGAUGAUUUCUCGCUUUUUUUUGCACAACGAUUAGAAAAUACAUAUGUGAGGAUGUGAAAAAUAGGUUCUGUGUUCCAAAGCCUGGUGAGAGCACCAAAACAGGUUUCUCAAAGAAAGAGAGAAAAGGCUGGAAUUUGGAGAGGGUGUUUCUUUUGAGUUGGGCUGUGUGUUUCCUGUGGACACCUCCUCAUUCGGGGAAGGGUGGGGGUGCCUUUCACUCCCCUCAAACCAAGUGGGAAGUGCUCCAAAGGGAACAUCAAUGGCUUGAGUUGUGUCAUCGGAGCUUGGGGUCACAGUGCACGGGGGCUAACUCUGGCUCAAGAAAAGUUAAAGGCGAGAACCUGAUGACAAAGCUCGGGGUGGUGGCAUGGGGUGGCCUGUCCUCAGGGCCGGACUCGUCUCCUGGGGCACAUUUUAGGGAGCACCAAAAAGCUCAGGAAUCAAAGUAAAUAAUAUGUCAAGUGCAAUAUUAUUAAAAAUGACAACUAAUGGGAAAAAAUCAGGAUGAACAAAAUAACAACAUUUUCAAUAAAACUAGUAUCAGUGGGGCUGGGAUGAGGGUAGAGGAAGCAAAGUGAGCCGUGGAAAUGUGUCUGCAUGGAAAACUCUCAAACCCAAGGCACGCACCUCCUUCUCCUCAUCUAGUCUGGGCCCAGCUUGCGCAAAGGGGGCACGUGGGUUUCCACUGACCAGAUGCAGAUCGUAUGAGAGCUGGAGCGGGGCCAGGCCGGAAAGGGCGGGGGAAUCUUAGGAGGACAAUGCUGGAGUCUGUCCCAGAGCUAAGGGGGGAGCCCUCAGCCAGCAGCCGGAGGAGAGGCCUGGCCCGCCCCAGGGAACUUGCAGGAAACAGAGACAAGCAAAAAGAAGAAAGUGAAGCUGCCUGUAAUUCCACCACUCAGAGAUAAACUUCUAGGUGGGAAGUCCUACAAAUCUUUGGGACUUCUCCCUCUGGGCUGGCUUUUGCCUUCCAGCAUGACCCGACUCAUUUAUACUUCCGCCCACCUGAACGCCCACCUCUUCUGCCUGUUUCUUCACGCCCUGAUGGACCCUGGGCAUCAGCUCUCUUUUGGAUCGUGGCUUUGUAUUAAAAUCUUUGU